This is a long non-coding RNA of Piliocolobus tephrosceles (Ugandan red Colobus), 3623 nucleotides long. RefSeq lists it as uncharacterized. The record is from RefSeq and is a predicted model, not a curated record. Lineage: Eukaryota; Metazoa; Chordata; Mammalia; Primates; Cercopithecidae. The transcript has 3 exons.
GCCCUGGCGGCCGAGGAGGCGGCGGUGUGGGGAGUUCAGCCUCCGCCCUCCCCUUUCCUCCACCCCCACCCCGCCGCCAGCCUGACGGGCCAGUGACUGCGGGCGCCCUGGGUUGGCGAUGUCACCCUCGUGGCCACCUGCCCGCGGCCGGCCCUCGGCGGCCAGUGCCCCGAGCCGCCCUUACCUGAGCCGGAGAUGUGGACCCGGAGUGGGCGGCCCCUGCUUGAGGACGACGAGAGGUCGCUCUGCGAUCGGCCGCGGGGGCUUGGGUCCCCGGGCAGCCACUGCAGGGCAGGCGCCGGCGGCGGGGCGGGCGCCUCGGACUCGGGGACUGGGACCGCCACCGCCUGUCCGGCCGGAUUGACCGGGAACCCCGCGGGGCGCCAACCCGCCUCGGCCAUCGGCUCCCCGCGGCGGGGCCGAAGCACGGGGUGCGGCCGGCGCCGAGGGCUGCGCUGCCCGCUGCUGCCCUGCUGUGCCCCGCGCACCGCGACCCGGAGGCAGAGAAGGGCGGGGAGGUGGACGCCGGGCGCCGAGGAGCCGAGGAGCCGGUGCGGAGGGCGGGAGGAGGAAGAGGACAGAAAAGUUUGCACAGGAAGGAGCCGCCUACAGCCGGCUCUCGCUCCAGCGGGCUAAAGCUGCAGGGCUCAGAGCUGGGCCGCCCUCGGUGCCCGCGAACCUGCCCUGCUGCUCCUCCCCCAAGCCCCGGGCACUGGUCCCUGGCAGGAUGGCAGCAGGGGGUCCCCUCCGCGGAGCGCUGUUCACCCAGCAAUCCGGCCGCAGAAAAGCCGAGUUUGGGCUUCAGGAGCUCGGAUGCAAGGUGAGCCCAAUGUAAUCACAAGAGUCCUUGAAUGGGGAAGUGGAAGGCAGAAGAGUGAGACCAGAGAGAUGGCAUCAUGAGAAAUUCUCAAGCUGCCUUUGCUGGCUUUAAAGAUCAAAGAGUCCACAAGAUAAGAAAUGAGGGCAGCCUCUAGAAGCUGAAAGAGGGUUGUGAAAACUCCACCUUUUCUUCCAACUGGUGCAGCCCAGGGGACACUGUCUCCCUCAGCCAUAAGGGCCACUGGAAAGGAGACUCGACGUGUGACUGAAACCUCAUCUCCCUGAACUGGGUCUCCAUGCACAGCCACUCAUUAGAUCAUUCAUUUUUCCCUGAAGACAUUGGGAAGGAGAGAAGUGGAAGGUAAGUGUAUCACAUGUUCUGAUGCUUAGCUGCAUACUAGGGUCAUUAAAUUACCUGCCACUGAUGACCCUGGUGCAGAGAAAAAGUGGCCAUUUGUUUUUGUUUCUAGUCACUCUGCUUGCCUCAGCAGACAGCAUGCUCCUGUCCCCCAUGCACACACUGGGUGGUUGGUGAUCAAAUUUAAAUAUUCUACCUGCAUUAAACGUAGUCAAAUCUUGUCAAUUAAACAGCAUCUUCAGCAAAUAUGUAGGCUGUUCUUUGGGUAACAACGCUCAAUAUUGCACAUGCCUCCCCCUCCCCUGCUGCUCUCUAAAGUGUCAUGGAGUAGGGGCAGGGGUCCUGAGGGGUUCUCCAGGUUCUGGGAAGGAACACGCCAUCUCUGCCUCCUCUAGUCCUGGAGUGCUGACACCGGUUCUUUCAUUGUUCCCAGAUGAAGCCUGAAGCUGCUCUAAUUCAAGAUCUGGUCUGUAUUGGGCUCCUGCCUCCCCACUCAGUUUCCACAGACAGGCAAGAGUCCUCUGAGGAAUGGCUGUGAACCCCAGGUCCUUGGCACAGGAGGCCUUGGCCACAGAGAACCACUCAGGGCAGAUUUCCUGUUAGGUUCUUGGCUAAUUCUGGGUCCUGUUUGUGUCACUCGAAUAUCAGGGUCACCCCAGGAAAGCUAAAAAGCAGCUUCACCAUCUGUCUAACAUGACUGUACCUUGCUACAUUUGCCAGUUAGCCUGAGUCCUAAUCAGGACAUUUCUGUCCUGAUUCUCAUUUAGGACUUCAGACUAAAUGGGAAUCAGGACAGAAAUGCCCCUUCCCAUAGGCUUCCCUGAAUUGAUCUAACACACACACACGGUAAUACUGGUUCACAUGUAGACGAGGCUUGACGUGUACUUCGCAUGAUUUAAUUCUCACGAUACACCUAGGAGGAAGAUGUACAAUUAUCAUUCACAUUUAAUAGGUGAAGAAACUGAGGCACACAGAGGUUCAAUGCCUUCCCCAGGAUUACACAGCUCUAUGGCAGAGGCUGGAGUGGGGCCACAGCCUGGUGGCUCUUCCCUCUCUGCUGAAUUCCAGGGCCUCCUCCCUUUAUUCCUCUCUGCUUCUCUUCCCUGUCCCCUGGUCUGAAAAAGUCGAGUUUUCUUUUAUUUCCGCCACGCCUGCUCUUCUACCAUGAAGCUGGGAUAUUUACCAUAUAAAGACUGGAUUGGGUUCAGUUCCUUUUGAACCUUUUCUCCUGCAUAUCCAGAGACUGCAUUGAUGCCAGCUGCCAGGCAAUGUUUCACUUCUUCCACUGUCCACUUCAGAAGAAUUCUGGGGACUGCCAAGAAUGGCUGGUGGCAGUCAUCCAACUCCCAUACGGAGAUCUAUCCAGAAUGUGUCCUCGAGAGCCUCGCUCAGAUAUCAACUCCACCUCAGCAGCUAAUCAUAUCCGUGUGGACACACAUGGCAAGACUGUUUCCUCUGGCAGCAGCAAGGAACUUGACCAGGGCUGGCCUCUCACCCUCUCCCGCCUGGGCACCCUGAGUAUCAGCAGCUGCCCAACAUGCGGCUGCUGGCCAUGGUGGUUCCAGAAGGAACCAUGCCUUCAUCUUCUACCCUAAGUAACCUCAGACAAACAGAAUCAGAGUUGACAAUGUUCCGCAUCAAGACCAUAAGUCCUUCAAACGCCUUAUACGUGAGCCAUGUGCACCUGCAGAACCCAGGGUUUUACUCAGAUUUCUGGAUCCCCUAUCAAAAUAUUUAAAUACACAGUUUAAGCCAUAUGAGGUAUGAUUCUAUUGCUCAGUUAGCAGUAGCUUCAAAUGCAAAGACUAGCUUUGUAAGGCAUUACAGAUGUACAAAAUGUUAAUGGAAUCUACAGCAGGCAGGUCUUUCCAUAAAGGACCAUGUUCUAAACAACUUCAUAGAUUUAUUUCUUUCAGUCAUUUAACAAAUAUUUUUAAGUAGAAUCUCUUUUUCCUCUUCACUUCCAGAUAAUACUGUUUGCUAUUCCUUUCAAAUCCUAUAGCAAUAGCUCCCAACCUGGUAUACUAGGAUUCUUAUGUGUCCUGAAGGGCACUAAGGGAGGUCUUCAAUAUAUUUUCAAUAUUUCUUACAGAAAAUAGACUUUUAUGAUAAGGUUGUACUUACCAGUUAAAAACAUUUCUUUGCCUUCAAGUGAAAUGACAGAUGACCCAAGUGGCAUCCAUGCAGAUCUGAUUACCACUCUUUAACUGAAAUAUAUGGAAGUGUAAAUAAUUCAUAACAUGAUAAAAGGACUCCGGGAGAUGGGCGUUUCUGCUAUGUGGGGUUCACAUGGGGAAAGGAUGCCCAUUUAUGAGAGGACAGGGUCCUCCUGCUGCUGCAUUGUCACUACAGUCAUGUCUACUCUCCCUUUGACAGUUCACAGUAUCAUUGUCACUGUGAAAAUUGUCUUUUGCACUUAUUACACAAACUUCUGAUUAGAGAGGAU